RNAcentral lists this long non-coding RNA (3526 nucleotides) under Vigna radiata. RNAcentral describes it as "long non-coding RNA (VRAD_LNC010773)". Lineage: Eukaryota; Viridiplantae; Streptophyta; Magnoliopsida; Fabales; Fabaceae. The record is from RNAcentral.
CACAAGCUCCUUAUCGUUAUCAACAAAGAAGAAGAAAAAUCCAUCAACUUUGCAAGCAAGAGGAGAAUGGCGUUGAUUCAUGUGGCAGUGUUGAACACCUCCUUCCUCUGGAAACAGCCAGUCCUGAAGGCAUUCCCGAAUGCUAACGCCAUGUUUGGUGUGAAAGGAGGAAGUGGGGGUCGUGUGAGUGCCAUGGCCAGUUACAAGGUGAAGCUGAUCACACCAGAGGGAGACAAAGAAUUUGAAUGCCCAGAUGAUGCUUAUAUUCUUGACCAGGCUGAGGAAAUAGGCAUUGAUCUUCCCUACUCAUGCAGGGCUGGUGCUUGUUCUAGCUGUGCUGGCAAAGUUGUGGCUGGCCAAGUAGACCAAUCAGAUGGUAGUUUCCUUGAUGAAACUCAAGAGAGUGAAGGCUUUGUUCUCACCUGCAUCGCUUACCCCACUUCAGAUGUUGUUAUUCUCACUCACAAGGAGGAGGAACUCACUGCCACUGCUUGACUCACUCAGUUUCUUCCCUUCUCAACCUCAUCAUCUUUUUUCUUUUCUGUCUUGUGCAAUUUUCUCAGGAUUUUACUAUAUAUAUCAUGUUUCAUUCUUUGUUUUAUGAUCGGCAACUUAUCACGAAAUUUUUUGCCUUGAUGCUGACUUGCAUUGUAGCUUCUUAUCUCAGUUGUUAUAGAUGAUGAUUUCAUGCAUUGUGUGGCCAAAGUUUUUAACCUUCAUAUCACUUAAAAAUGAGAGAUGAUAUCUGAUUGUGUCUGCUGCAUUAGGUAGAUUCCACUUGUGAUAAAAGAAUUGAAGCAGGCUAAGGAUAUGGAAUGGGAGGCAUUAGAGAAAAGAACAUCAUUGUAGUUGAAUUCCUUGCCAAAAUUAAGGAAUGAAGUCAAUCAAAUGCAAAUGGUUAUAUUCACACUUUUGUGUUUUCUUUCUGUUCUACCUUUUACUUUUCCCUAGUAUUGCCAGAAUCAGUCAUGUGAACUGCAUAAGGGUAGACCAUUUGAAGACAGAUCCUUUCUCAUUGAUGCAUAAUUGUCAAACGCUAAAACAUAGAUAGAGGGUUCAUCAAGUUCCACAUUAAGAAGAACGUUUCACAAACAUACCCAAAAUAUUCACAUUCUUCCCUGCCAAGCCCAUGAAACAUAUAUCAUAGGAUCCAUGUCUUGUAAAUCAAAUCAGUUCAUCCAUUGUCUUUACUCCUCUAGUUGAAUCAAGUAAUUGACCAAUUUUGUACUUCAAUUCUUCAGGUUUGCUUUCUUAGCGUUAUCUUUAAGGUAGCUGUUCCUUGUUUGAUCCUAACACACUGUCAUCUUCAAAAGAACUUUUACUGAGGUCCAUACUUCUUCAAGGAAACUCAAAGGUCCUCAAUUAUAUGAUAUGCAUCCUGAACAGCAGUACUGCAACACAAGUAUGAGAUGGAAAUCCGCUUACAGAUAUUGAAUUUGCAAGGGAAUAAAUGGAAGAAAGAAAACUGAACAACUGGAAUAAAUAGUUGAAAUAAGAUUGUUCAAGUAAUAACAGUGUUUCCAAAUUAAUCUUUAUUACUGAUGAAGUAGUUGAAGUGAGCAAAGUAGUUGAAGUGAGCAGAAGGAAAACGUGGUAAAAAUACGUGUGGUGAUAAGAGAUGAGUUGAAGCCUAUAACAGUGACACGUGGCAGAUAAGGUUGUACGUGAUUUCACUUCAUUUCAUUGGUUUAUGUAUCAGAGAAGAAGAAGAAGAAGAAAAAGAAGGAGAAGAAGCAGCAACAGCAAGAGGAGAAUGGCAGCUCUGUGUGGCCCUGCAUUGAACAGCUCCUUCCUGAGGAAGCAAGCAGUGAACAUGUCAAGCAUGAAGGCAUUCGAAAACGCCAACGCCGUGUUUGGUGUGAAAGAAGGACGAGGUGGUCGUGUGACUGCCAUGGCCACUUACAAGGUGAAGCUGAUAACCCCAGAGGGAGAAAAGCAGAUCAAAUGCUCAGAUAGUGAAUACAUUCUUGAUGCUGCAGAAGAACAAGGCCUUGACCUUCCCUACUCAUGCAGGGCUGGUGCCUGUUCUUCUUGUGCUGGAAAAAUUGUGUCUGGCAAAGUGGACCAGACAGACAAUAGCUUCCUUGAUGACGACCAAGUUGAUGCAGGAUUUGUUCUCACCUGUAUUGCUUACCCGACCUCUGACGUUGUCAUCCGCACCAACGUGGAGGACGAACUCAAUGAUUUUUAAAUCUUGUUUUCUUUCAAAUCUCAUGUACUGUUGAAUAAGGUGAAUCUUGUUGCUUUCCUUUCUGCUUCAGUUAUGAACUCUCAUGUUAUUGCUUUCCUUGCCUUCUUAUAUGAACUAUUAAGCUUCGAACGAAAUCACCAGCAAUUAUCAUGUGGUAUAUGUUAUACUUGCAAUUACACGACAAGUCCAUAUGUGUGGUCGUUCUUGAUUGGUAACACCAUUCAUUGACAAGGAUAAUUUUGUAAGCAAUAAAUAAAUUAAAAAGAAAUUUCAAUUUACAAUGAAUCCAUGAAAAACAUUUAGCACAAUUAAAGCAGUGGACGACCAUAAACCAUACUCAGAUUCCAUAUAUAAAGUUUUAUAUACUUACCAAAAAAAGGAAAAUAAGAAGAUAUAACGAGGCAUAAGAUGAUGCCACGUGGCAGAUAGGAUUGUGUGUGGCCUCAGCACCUCAUAUAGGGUAUAAUAAGCACACUAUUUCUGCAAAGUGAAGGUCAGAAUUCUUAUCCUUCAGCAAGUAGAAGAAGAAGACGACGACAACGACGCUAGCAGCAUUGAAGAAUGGCGUCGAUGGCACCCGCUCUCUGUGGCCCUGUCUUGAACACUUCCUUCCUCAGGAAGCAACCACUGAACAUGGCAAGCAUGAAGCCUUUCCAAAACGCUAACGCCGUUUUCGGUGUGGAAGGAGGACGUGGAGGUCGUGUGACUGCCAUGGCCGCUUACAAGGUGAAGCUGAUCACCCCAGAGGGAGAACAGGAGUUCGAAUGCCCAGAUGAUGAAUACAUUCUUGAUGUUGCAGAGGGCCUAGGCCUUGACCUUCCCUACUCAUGCAGGGCUGGUUCUUGNUCUUCCUGUGCUGGCAAAGUUGUCGCCGGCAAAGUCGACCAGUCGGACGGUAACUACCUUGAUGACGACCAAAUUGGUGAAGGCUGGGUUCUCACCUGCGUUGCUUACCCAACCUCUGAUCUUGUUAUCGAGACCCACAAGGAGGAAGACCUCGUUGCUUAAAUCUUAUCAUCAUCGCUGCCUCUACUUUAUUAAGUUUCUUCCUUUCCCAGCCCCAUUGUCUUUUUCCCUUUAUUCUGUGCCAUUUUGUCAGGAUAUAUACGUAUGUUAUGUUUGUUUAUGAACAACUUGUUUUGCACUAAUUCGUUAAUUACUUCACCUGUACGUUGUAGCAGCUCAAGUUCAUUGCUGUCUUACUGUUGUUGCCCACUUGAUUGAAUGACAACUCAAUUUUUUUGGUAGAUGAUUAUGAUGUUAGUGCGGAGGAUUAGAGUUCCCAAAUGUUAGGAAAUAAAUUGUGUGGUUCUCUUCUUAUCGCUUAGAAGAGAG